RNAcentral lists this ribosomal RNA (467 nucleotides) under uncultured bacterium. Its description in RNAcentral is "partial 16S ribosomal RNA". It matches the Rfam family "Bacterial small subunit ribosomal RNA", at positions 28 to 507 of the family's 1533-position model. The record is from RNAcentral.
GACGAACGCUGGCGGCGUGCUUAACACAUGCGAGUCGAACGGAAAGGCCUCUUUCGGGGGGUACUCGAGUGGCGAACGGGUGAGUAACACGUGAGUAACCUGCCCUUGACUUUGGGAUAACUUCAGGAAACUGGGGCUAAUACCGGAUAGGAGCUCCUGCUGCAUGGUGGGGGUUGGAAAGUUUCGGCGGUUGGGGAUGGACUCGCGGCUUAUCAGCGUGUUGGUGGGGUAGUGGCUUACCAAGGCUUUGACGGGUAGCCGGCCUGGGAGGGUGACCGGCCACAUUGGGACUGAGAUACGGCCCAGACUCCUACGGGAGGCAGCAGGGGGGAAUUUUGCACAAUGGGUGGAAGCCUGAUGCAGCAACGCCGUGUGCGGGAUGACGGCCUUCGGGUUGGAAACCGCUUUCGCUCAUGACGAAGCUUUGUGUGACGGUAGUGGGUAAAGAAGCACCGGCUAACUACGUG